This 1176-nucleotide ribosomal RNA is filed under the name Curtobacterium sp. RY8. Its description in RNAcentral is "bacterial SSU rRNA". It matches the Rfam family "Bacterial small subunit ribosomal RNA", at positions 235 to 1422 of the family's 1533-position model. Lineage: Bacteria; Bacillati; Actinomycetota; Actinomycetes; Micrococcales; Microbacteriaceae. The record is from RNAcentral.
GGCCUAUCAGCUUGUUGGUGAGGUAAUGGCUCACCAAGGCGACGACGGGUAGCCGGCCUGAGAGGGUGACCGGCCACACUGGGACUGAGACACGGCCCAGACUCCUACGGGAGGCAGCAGUGGGGAAUAUUGCACAAUGGGCGAAAGCCUGAUGCAGCAACGCCGCGUGAGGGAUGACGGCCUUCGGGUUGUAAACCUCUUUUAGUAGGGAAGAAGCGUAAGUGACGGUACCUGCAGAAAAAGCACCGGCUAACUACGUGCCAGCAGCCGCGGUAAUACGUAGGGUGCAAGCGUUGUCCGGAAUUAUUGGGCGUAAAGAGCUCGUAGGCGGUUUGUCGCGUCUGCUGUGAAAUCCCGAGGCUCAACCUCGGGCUUGCAGUGGGUACGGGCAGACUAGAGUGCGGUAGGGGAGAUUGGAAUUCCUGGUGUAGCGGUGGAAUGCGCAGAUAUCAGGAGGAACACCGAUGGCGAAGGCAGAUCUCUGGGCCGUAACUGACGCUGAGGAGCGAAAGCGUGGGGAGCGAACAGGAUUAGAUACCCUGGUAGUCCACGCCGUAAACGUUGGGCGCUAGAUGUAGGGACCUUUCCACGGUUUCUGUGUCGUAGCUAACGCAUUAAGCGCCCCGCCUGGGGAGUACGGCCGCAAGGCUAAAACUCAAAGGAAUUGACGGGGGCCCGCACAAGCGGCGGAGCAUGCGGAUUAAUUCGAUGCAACGCGAAGAACCUUACCAAGGCUUGACAUACACCGGAAACGGCCAGAGAUGGUUGCCCCCUUGUGGUCGGUGUACAGGUGGUGCAUGGUUGUCGUCAGCUCGUGUCGUGAGAUGUUGGGUUAAGUCCCGCAACGAGCGCAACCCUCGUUCUAUGUUGCCAGCGCGUUAUGGCGGGGACUCAUAGGAGACUGCCGGGGUCAACUCGGAGGAAGGUGGGGAUGACGUCAAAUCAUCAUGCCCCUUAUGUCUUGGGCUUCACGCAUGCUACAAUGGCCGGUACAAAGGGCUGCGAUACCGUAAGGUGGAGCGAAUCCCAAAAAGCCGGUCUCAGUUCGGAUUGAGGUCUGCAACUCGACCUCAUGAAGUCGGAGUCGCUAGUAAUCGCAGAUCAGCAACGCUGCGGUGAAUACGUUCCCGGGCCUUGUACACACCGCCCGUCAAGUCAUGAAAGUCGGUAACACCC